Molecule: long non-coding RNA, 436 nt
Filed under: Pan troglodytes (chimpanzee)
Lineage: Eukaryota; Metazoa; Chordata; Mammalia; Primates; Hominidae
Description: long non-coding RNA NONPTRT014080
Source: RNAcentral
CUGCUGUCAAUUUCAGCGAAACUGACUUUUGUUAGCCAAAGCCGGUGUUGGAGCUUGGGGUUGUGGGGGGUGGGUGGUUGUCUAUGGUGGGGUGGCAGCCGGGUAGUGUGCUCAUAUUCUCCCAUACCAACCAGACCCCCAUACCCACCAGAAUAUUUUCAGUGGUUGGAGGAAGAGUUCACAUACAACUUCGGCUCCAGGGUCACACUUCUGUCACUGAUGCUAAUUUGUUUUGCAGGGCAUGGCAAGAGGAGCAUUUUCUGAGGGCAGCAAGAUACCUGGAUAUGUCCCCAGUGGCACCUUUCCAAGACUUCUGGCUACACAUCUUUCACCUCCCAGCCUCGUGCUGAACCCUGUUGGGAUUUUUCAAGUUUUUCAGGUAUGUCUGGUCAAGUUUUCUGUGGAUAUUAGCAACUAUCAAGUAUGAAGAUUAUAG